AUGCAGUCGAGGGGUAGAAGUCUUCGGACUUUGAGACCGGCGCACGGGUGCGUAACGCGUAUGCAAUCUACCUUUUACAGAGGGAUAGCCCAGAGAAAUUUGGAUUAAUACCUCAUAGUAUAUAGACUCGGCAUCGAGAUUAUAUUAAAGUCACAACGGUAAAAGAUGAGCAUGCGUCCCAUUAGCUAGUUGGUAAGGUAACGGCUUACCAAGGCUACGAUGGGUAGGGGUCCUGAGAGGGAGAUCCCCCACACUGGUACUGAGACACGGACCAGACUCCUACGGGAGGCAGCAGUGAGGAAUAUUGGACAAUGGGCGCAAGCCUGAUCCAGCCAUGCCGCGUGCAGGAUGACGGUCCUAUGGAUUGUAAACUGCUUUUAUACGAGAAGAAACACUCCUUCGUGAAGGAAUUUGACGGUAUCGUAAGAAUAAGGAUCGGCUAACUCCGUGCCAGCAGCCGCGGUAAUACGGAGGAUCCAAGCGUUAUCCGGAAUCAUUGGGUUUAAAGGGUCCGUAGGCGGUUUGGUAAGUCAGUGGUGAAAGCCCAUCGCUCAACGGUGGAACGGCCAUUGAUACUGCCAGACUUGAAUUAUUAGGAAGUAACUAGAAUAUGUAGUGUAGCGGUGAAAUGCUUAGAGAUUACAUGGAAUACCAAUUGCGAAGGCAGGUUACUACUAAUGGAUUGACGCUGAUGGACGAAAGCGUGGGUAGCGAACAGGAUUAGAUACCCUGGUAGUCCACGCCGUAAACGAUGGAUACUAGCUGUUGGAAGCAAUUUCAGUGGCUAAGCGAAAGUGAUA
This 800-nucleotide ribosomal RNA is filed under the name Flavobacterium sp. RNAcentral describes it as "bacterial SSU rRNA". It matches the Rfam family "Bacterial small subunit ribosomal RNA", at positions 55 to 862 of the family's 1533-position model. The record is from RNAcentral. Lineage: Bacteria; Pseudomonadati; Bacteroidota; Flavobacteriia; Flavobacteriales; Flavobacteriaceae.